GACGAACGCUGGCGGCGUGCUUAACACAUGCGAGUCGAACGGAAAGGCCCCUUCGGGGGUACUCGAGUGGCGGACAGGCGGGUAACACGUGAGUAACCUGCCCGUGACUUCGGGUUAACUUCAGGAAACUGGGGCUAAUACCGGAUAGGAAUCCUUGCUGCAUGGUGGGGGUGGGAAAGCAUCGGCGGGUUGGGGGGGACCUGCGGCUUUUCAGCUUGUUGGUGGGGGAGGGGCUUGCCAAGGCUUGGACGGGUAGGCGGCCCGAGGGGGCGACCGGCCACAGUGGGGAUGGGAAAAGGCCCAGACUCCUACGGGGAGCAGCAGGGGGGAAUAAUGCACAAUGGGCGGAAGCCUGAUGCCGCAACGCCGGGUUCGGGAUGACGGCCUUCGGGUUGUAAACCGCUUUCAGCAGGUGCGGAGCUUGUAGUGACGGUACCUGGAAAAGAAGCACCGGCUAACUACGUG
This 465-nucleotide ribosomal RNA is filed under the name uncultured bacterium. RNAcentral's name for it is "partial 16S ribosomal RNA". It matches the Rfam family "Bacterial small subunit ribosomal RNA", at positions 28 to 507 of the family's 1533-position model. The record is from RNAcentral.